Molecule: ribosomal RNA, 775 nt
Filed under: uncultured Neocallimastigales
Lineage: Eukaryota; Fungi; Neocallimastigomycota; Neocallimastigomycetes; Neocallimastigales
Description: partial large subunit ribosomal RNA
Rfam family: Eukaryotic large subunit ribosomal RNA
Source: RNAcentral
GAGACUCUGUGCGCGUGCAUAUCAAUAAGCGGAGGAAAAGAAACUAACAAGGAUUCCCUUAGUAACGGCGAGUGAAGCGGGAAGAGCUCAAAUUUGAAAUCUUCAAGGUUCUACCUUGACGAAUUGUAGUUUAUAGAAGUGUUUUCUGUUAGUAGAGUGGCAAAAGUUCUUUGGAAUAGGACAUCAUAGAGGGUGAGAAUCCCGUAUUUGGUCAUUCUUUCUAGCUUUGUGAUACACUUUCAACGAGUCGGAUUGUUUGGGAAUGCAGUCCAAAAUGGGUGGUAAAUUUCAUCUAAAGCUAAAUAUUGGCGAGAGACCGAUAGCGAACAAGUACCGUGAGGGAAAGAUGAAAAGAACUUUGAAAAGAGAGUUAAACAGUACGUGAAAUUGUCAAAAGGGAAGCGUUUGACACCAGUGUUGUUUUUCCCGAAAAUCAAUUACGAAUGUUUUAUUUUUGAGAAGUUAUGACUUCAUCGGUUUGCUUCUCUCUUUACUGAAACUUUCUUAAUGCACUUUUCGGUUAACAAGUCAACAUCAAUUUCUUUUGUUGUAAAAGGGUAUGAGGAAGGUGGCUUUCUUUUCGGAGAAAGUGUUUAUAGCCUUGUACCUCUGCAAUCGGAGAGAUUGAGGUCUGCAGCGUAGAUCCUUCGGGGUUAGAUACAUUUGUGCUAAGUUAUAGCUUUUCAUAGACAACUUGUUGACUAUGUUAGUCUUGUAGCUUACUCGCUUAUGCUAUUUUACCUACGCUUAGGAUGUUGAACUCUAUCACACACAG